This 338-nucleotide ribosomal RNA is filed under the name uncultured bacterium. RNAcentral's name for it is "partial 16S ribosomal RNA". It matches the Rfam family "Bacterial small subunit ribosomal RNA", at positions 355 to 685 of the family's 1533-position model. The record is from RNAcentral.
UAGGGAAUCUUCCACAAUGGACGCAAGUCUGAUGGAGCAACGCCGCGUGAGUGAAGAAGGCUUUCGGGUCGUAAAACUCUGUUAUUGAAGAAGAACGUGCGUGACAGUAACUGGUCAUGCAGUGACGGUAUUCAAUCAGAAAGUCACGGCUAACUACGUGCCAGCAGCCGCGGUAAUACGUAGGUGGCAAGCGUUGUCCGGAUUUAUUGGGCGUAAAGCGAGUGCAGGCGGUCUUUUAAGUCUGAUGUGAAAGCCUUCGGCUUAACCGAAGAAGGGCAUCGGAAACUGGGAGACUUGAGUGCAGAAGAGGAGAGUGGAACUCCAUGUGUAGCGGUGAA